GUCGGGAAUUUUGCGCAAUGGGCGAAAGCCUGACGCAGCAACGCCGCGUGAGGGAUGAAGGCCUUCGGGUUGUAAACCUCUUUUCUCAGGGAAGAUAAUGACGGUACCUGAGGAAUAAGCCACGGCUAACUACGUGCCAGCAGCCGCGGUAAUACGUAGGUGGCAAGCGUUGUCCGGAUUUACUGGGCGUAAAGAGCGCGCAGGCGGUUGGACAAGUCGCGUGUGAAAGCCCCCGGCUCAACUGGGGAGGGUCACGCGAUACUGUUCAACUCGAAGGCAGGAGAGGGAAGUGGAAUUCCCGGUGUAGUGGUGAAAUGCGUAGAUAUCGGGAGGAACACCAGUGGCGAAGGCGACUUCCUGGCCUGUUCUUGACGCUGAGGCGCGAAAGCUAGGGGAGCAA
This 400-nucleotide ribosomal RNA is filed under the name uncultured bacterium. Its description in RNAcentral is "bacterial SSU rRNA". It matches the Rfam family "Bacterial small subunit ribosomal RNA", at positions 354 to 771 of the family's 1533-position model. The record is from RNAcentral.